UACGUAGGGUGCAAGCGUUGUCCGGAAUUAUUGGGCGUAAAGAGCUCGUAGGCGGUUUGUCGCGUCUGCUGUGAAAACCCGAGGCUCAACCUUGGGCUUGCAGUGGGUACGGGCAGACUAGAGUGCGGUAGGGGUGACUGGAAUUCCUGGUGUAGCGGUGGAAUGCGCAGAUAUCAGGAGGAACACCGAUGGCGAAGGCAGGUCACUGGGCCGCAACUGACGCUGAGGAGCGAAAGCUAGGGGAGCAAACGGG
This 253-nucleotide ribosomal RNA is filed under the name uncultured bacterium. RNAcentral's name for it is "partial 16S ribosomal RNA". It matches the Rfam family "Bacterial small subunit ribosomal RNA", at positions 524 to 776 of the family's 1533-position model. The record is from RNAcentral.